AGACCAUGCUCAGUCCCCAGUGACCUGUAAGUUCUGGAGGCUGGGCAGUCUAAGAUCAGGGCACCAGUGGAUUCAGUGUCUGGUGAGGACUGAUUUAUUUUUCCAAGAUGGUACCUUAUUGCUGUGUCCUCACAUGGCAGAAGACAGAAAGGCAAGGAAGGUCAGUUCCAGGGACCAUUGCACUUAUUUCGGCAUGAGGAAGAUUUAUUGAACAUAUGCCAUGUGGUUCACCUGGACUUGCAGUGGACUUUCGCUUUGGAGGCAUGGUCACAAGGGUAAACAUAGACUCACAAAAUUGAAUGAAAGCAUUAAAACAAAAGUGAUGCUGCACGUGGGGAGAGAAGCAAGGGCAAAAAUUUUAGGAAG
Non-coding RNA from Microcebus murinus (gray mouse lemur), 366 nucleotides. NCBI's taxonomy places the organism in Eukaryota, Metazoa, Chordata, Mammalia, Primates, Cheirogaleidae. The record is from RefSeq and is a predicted model, not a curated record.